GCCUUUGUGGUGUAGUGGUCAGCACGCUUGACGCGUAUUCGAGAGGUCCGUGGUUCGAGUCCCGACGAAGGCA
RNAcentral lists this transfer RNA (73 nucleotides) under Stegodyphus mimosarum. It matches the Rfam family "tRNA". From Rfam's summary of the family: Transfer RNA (tRNA) molecules are approximately 80 nucleotides in length. Their secondary structure includes four short double-helical elements and three loops (D, anti-codon, and T loops). Lineage: Eukaryota; Metazoa; Arthropoda; Arachnida; Araneae; Eresidae. The record is from Rfam by way of RNAcentral.